This 295-nucleotide small RNA is filed under the name Drosophila virilis. Its description in RNAcentral is "GJ25752". The record is from RNAcentral. Lineage: Eukaryota; Metazoa; Arthropoda; Insecta; Diptera; Drosophilidae.
GUUCUACAUAAGCUGGGUAAAGGAAAGGCGCAUGGCCCAGCAGCUUGCCGCAGUACAGCGAUUGCAUGUGGCAUGUGGCAAGUGGCAAGUGGCGUCGUAUGGCAUAUGUGGCAGAGAGCGCAGCUAAAGCUGUUGGCGGCCAUGACUUGGCAACAAGUGCCGCACACACACACACACAAUUUGUAAUACAGCUCAAGCUGCUUGCAACAUGAGUUGUGUGUUGUCUGUUGAAAGCCUACCCCAUCUGGAGCCCACGACUACAGGACAGACGGCAUGCCUUGUCAGCGGAUCCGGU